RNAcentral lists this ribosomal RNA (108 nucleotides) under Autumnicola patrickiae. Lineage: Bacteria; Pseudomonadati; Bacteroidota; Flavobacteriia; Flavobacteriales; Flavobacteriaceae. RNAcentral also lists the same sequence under 2 other names. The record is from RNAcentral.
UAAGGUGGUUAUGGCAACGGGGCUCACCUCUUCCCAUUCCGAACAGAGAAGUUAAGCCCGUUAGCGCAGAUGGUACUGCUAUUGUGGGAGAGUAUGUCACCGCCUUGU